RNAcentral lists this long non-coding RNA (288 nucleotides) under dengue virus type 1. RNAcentral's name for it is "Dengue virus 1 partial sfRNA1". The stretch from base 149 to 220 matches the Rfam family "Flavivirus DB element". Lineage: Riboviria; Orthornavirae; Kitrinoviricota; Flasuviricetes; Amarillovirales; Flaviviridae. The record is from RNAcentral.
AAGAAGUCAGGCCGGAUUAAGCCAUAGCACGGUAAGAGCUAUGCUGCCUGUGAGCCCCGUCUAAGGACGUAAAAUGAAGUCAGGCCGAAAGCCACGGUUUGAGCAAGCCGUGCUGCCUGUAGCUCCAUCGUGGGGAUGUGAAAACCUGGGAGGCUGCAAACCAUGGAAGCUGUACGCAUGGGGUAGCAGACUAGUGGUUAGAGGAGACCCCUCCCAAAACACAACGCAGCAGCGGGGCCCAACACCUGGGAAAGCUGUACCCUGGUGGUAAGGACUAGAGGUUAGAGG